This is a non-coding RNA of Chrysemys picta bellii (western painted turtle), 238 nucleotides long. Lineage: Eukaryota; Metazoa; Chordata; Testudines; Emydidae. The record is from RefSeq and is a predicted model, not a curated record.
CAGUAGCCCCCCUGGAUUUCACCAACGCCAACAUCGCCCGCCUGGGGCUGGGUACCGCGGUCCUGCUCGUCCUGGGGCUGAUCCUGGCUGAGGCCCAUUACAGCUGCCCAAGGGGGGCGCCCUAGGAGCCUGGAUCCAGCCAUGCAGGGAAGAGAAUCUCCCCGGGGGACAAGUGGCUUCCCCAUGGGGUGCUGAGACACCGGCACAAACCCCCCUGCUCCCAAACACCCCUGCCUCA